GGAGAGGCUCUGAUAGACCAGAAGCAGGCAGAGGUUUAGAGGCAGCAGAACCAUGGUGAGUGAGUUCUUGUGAGAUCCGGUUGUUUAAAAGUGUGUGGCACCUCCCCUUGUUCUCUUGCUCCUGCUCUCACCACGUGAUACAUCAGCUCCCCCUUCACCUUCUGCCAUGAUUGUAAGCUUCCUGAGGUCAUCCAAAAGCUGAGCAGAUGCCAACCAUGCUUCCUGAGGCCAAGGUGGUAGGAUCACUUGAAGUUGGGAGUUCAAGACCAGCCUGACCAACAUGGUGAAACCUCGCCUCCACUGAAAAUACAAAAAUUAGCUGGGCAUGGUGGCAGGCACCUGUAAUCCUAGCUACUCGCUAAGACUGAGGCAGGAGAAUCGCUUGAACCCAGGAGACGGAAGUUGCAGUGAGCCGAGAUCAUGCCACUGCACUCCAGCCUGGGCAACAGGGCGAGACUCCACCUCAAAAAAAAAAAAAAUGUGUAAUUAACUGUUCCCCAUGUCAAU
RNAcentral lists this long non-coding RNA (507 nucleotides) under Homo sapiens (human). RNAcentral's name for it is "HSALNT0370890". The record is from RNAcentral. Lineage: Eukaryota; Metazoa; Chordata; Mammalia; Primates; Hominidae.